GACGAACUGUCCAAACGUUGUUCGGAAUCACUGGGCUUAAAGGGCGCGUAGGCGGUCGAUCAAGUCAGGGGUGAAAUCCUGCAGCUUAACUGUAGAAGUGCCUUUGAUACUGAUCGUCUGGAGGGAGAUAGGGGUGUGUGGAACUUCCAGUGGAGCGGUGAAAUGCGUUGAUAUUGGAAGGAACGCCGGAGGCGAAAGCGACGCACUGGAUCUCUUCUGACGCUGAGGCGCGAAAGCUAGGGGAGCAAACGGG
This 253-nucleotide ribosomal RNA is filed under the name uncultured bacterium. RNAcentral describes it as "partial 16S ribosomal RNA". It matches the Rfam family "Bacterial small subunit ribosomal RNA", at positions 524 to 776 of the family's 1533-position model. The record is from RNAcentral.